GUGUCCAGCGUCGGCGGAAUUAUUGUGAUGGUGAAAACAAAUUGAAAAGAAGCAAAGAAGAGAGAAAAGAUCAUACGAAAAUGAAGAAUAUACUAUCACGCGUUCAAUAAAAAAAAGAUAAAAUGGUUUGUCUGUCACUUUUGCUACAAAGAAUGUGAAUUUCCAGUUAUAAUUUCCUAAUUUUAGCUAAAGUUAGGUAUAUUGAGUUAAUUGACCCAUUAAAGAAUACACAUAUAAUUUAUGUUCAUUUCAUUAGUUGAAAACCAUGGUCAAGCUAAAUACGAUUAACC
Molecule: long non-coding RNA, 290 nt
Filed under: Brassica napus (rape)
Lineage: Eukaryota; Viridiplantae; Streptophyta; Magnoliopsida; Brassicales; Brassicaceae
Description: long non-coding RNA (BNAP_LNC014633)
Source: RNAcentral